AUACGGAGGUUGCAAGCGUUAUCCGGAAUCAUUGGGUUUAAAGGGUCCGUAGGCGGACUAUUAAGUCAGAGGUGAAAUCCCACAGCUCAACUGUGGAACUGCCUUUGAUACUGGUAGUCUUGAGUUAUAUGGAAGUAGAUAGAAUGUGUAGUGUAGCGGUGAAAUGCAUAGAUAUUACACAGAAUACCGAUUGCGAAGGCAGUCUACUACGUAUAUACUGACGCUAAGGGACGAAAGCGUGGGGAGCGAACAAGAUUAGAAACCCCAGUAGUCC
Molecule: ribosomal RNA, 274 nt
Filed under: uncultured bacterium
Lineage: Bacteria
Description: partial 16S ribosomal RNA
Rfam family: Bacterial small subunit ribosomal RNA
Source: RNAcentral